GAUGAAGAACGUAGUGAAAUGCGAUACGUAAUGUGAAUUGCAGAAUUCAGUGAAUCAUCGAGUCUUUGAACGCACAUUGCGCCCUCUGGUAUUCCGGAGGGCAUGCCUGUCCGAGCGUCAUUGCUGCCCUCAAGCACGGCUUGUGUGUUGGGCCUCCGUCCUCCUCCCGGGGGACGGGCCCGAAAGGCAGCGGCGGCACCGCGUCCGGUCCUCGAGCGUAUGGGGCUUCGUCACCCGCUCUUGUAGGCCCGGCCGGCGCUUGCCGACACAUCAAUCUUUUUUCCAGGUUGACCUCGGAUCAGGUAGGGAUACCCGCUGAACUUAAGCAUAUCAAUAAGCGGAGGA
Molecule: unclassified non-coding RNA, 345 nt
Filed under: soil metagenome
Description: partial contains 5.8S ribosomal RNA, internal transcribed spacer 2, and large subunit ribosomal RNA
Rfam family: 5.8S ribosomal RNA (bases 1-120)
Source: RNAcentral